AUUGCUUUAACUUUGCUUUACUUUCCCAGGCCCAGAAAGGAUAGACAGGCUUUUUGCAUUUUCUGCACUGAUUUGGGUGGAAAACCUUGUUAAACAGAGCUGAGAUUACUAUGAACUUUGUUGGUAGCUGAAAUAAUCAUCCUCAAAUGAGCGUUGUUAAAUAAAAGUGGUUUGAGUGAUGAGUGUUUGAAAACUCUGCACACAUUCUUGUUCAACACCCUAUUACUGAAUAUACCUCUAAUAACAAAUAACUUUGAGAAUGUUUCAGGCUUUACACUCGAUGUAACCAAUCUUUGCACAAGCGAUACGUGCAUUUUAGCCCCACACAAAUGCUCAGUUUUUGUUGUUGGGGAUUGUAGAAAGUCAACACGUCGCUUCCAGGAACAGAUCCUUUGAGCUGAGCUCUUCACACAGUCCUGCCUCUGACCACAGAAGGACACAAGGAACGCAUCCCCCACGUGAAAUCAAAGGAUACAGAACUUACAUAUAAACAGACACUUAUGAUUGCUAGAAGAUAAAAUGUGCAAAUUAAGUACUCCCCCAAACUUUGAUGUCUUCAUAUGCACCGUUCAAGAACUUGACCUGAUUUCAGUUGACGUGCUGACUCAUCACUGGAAGAAGCUUUUGGAAAAAAUCACCAAUGUUCCUGACUGUUGGUUUUAAUGUGUUAAAAACACCCAUUUGGUCACAUCUGAUGCUCUCAUCAUGUCUUGUCUGUUUCAAGGUGGAGAUCUGGUUUUCAUGUAUUAGUUUGAUUCUUUGAGGAGGUUUCUUUCUCUACCUUCAGUAUGUCAGUCAGGGAAAGUCCUGGUGUAUAGUUCUGAUGCUGUCUGUAUUUUCGGUUUGUGCUUCCUAACCCUUGUGUCUGCUGAGAUCUUGAUGCGUUGGGAAACUGAGCUUCACACAAAUAUAUGCUGUGUCUCAUCCUUGGCCUUCGGCCUUCUACUUUUGUCAACUGUUCAAAUAAAACAUAAAUUGUGGCAAAGCUUUAUUCCUAUAGCAGAUUCAAGUCCAAAGCCUUUCAAACGAGGCUGUUCAGUGUAGUCCUUUCCAUCGCAUGUUGCCCCCUCUCUUGAGGAAUGUGCAGCGUAACCACGAGCAAACAUGAAAUAAAAAGAAACCGAUCCUUGCAAUUCCUUAGCAUGUAUUGUAAGCUAACCCAAGUAGGUUGAAUUUCAAAAUUGCUUUUCUUUGUGUGUUAUUCCACAUUUCUGCCAUAGUUCUUAUGAUCUCAGUCUGGCUGUUCUGCAUGCACUUGUGGCUCAGUUGGCUGCCUGUUCGUCCAGUGUGCACUUUCUAGGUCACAUGGCUUCAUUGUUUGUCUUGUAAAGGCUGUCUCAUCACUUGUAGGAAAAGAGCUUCUCCACACAGGUUUGGUCGUUGCUUUUAAACAUGCAAUCAAAUGUGGUAUUUUCUUUGUUAAUAUCAUAAUACAGUUUAAGAUUUGUUACAGGGACUGCAAUCUAGGGUUGGAUUGGAUGAUCAUAGCCAGAAUGUAUUUGGAAAGUGCCCAUACUUUGUGCAUAGCCUGGCACUGAUCUUUUGUUGGUAGAGGUUAC
This is a long non-coding RNA of Cyprinus carpio carpio, 1559 nucleotides long. The record is from Ensembl. Lineage: Eukaryota; Metazoa; Chordata; Actinopteri; Cypriniformes; Cyprinidae.